Molecule: ribosomal RNA, 660 nt
Filed under: uncultured fungus
Lineage: Eukaryota; Fungi
Description: eukaryotic LSU rRNA
Rfam family: 5.8S ribosomal RNA (bases 155-308)
Source: RNAcentral
AGUGCUGUAUCUAACCACCUGAUUUACCUUUACCUGAUUGCUUCCGUGGAAUUACGGGUGCUCUUCCUGUUCGCAGGCUUGAGUUACCUUCCACGGGUGUAUUUUAAAACUCGUUUUGUAUUAUUGUCUGAUCUAAAAUUUUAAUAAAAGUUAAAACUUUCAACAACGGAUCUCUAGGUUCUCGCAUCGAUGAAGAACGCAGUGAAAUGCGAUAAGUAGUGUGAAUUGCANAUUUCAGUGAAUCAUCGAAUCUUUGAACGCACAUUGCGCCCUUUGGUAUUCCGAAGGGCGUGCCUGUCUGAGCGUCAAUAAAUCAAUCAAACCUUGGUUUGGNAUUGGGAGAAGAGGUUUUUGUCUCUCUCCUUUAAGCUAUUGGCGACGCUAUUUCAGCUUGUAAGACGUAGUAAGUGAUUUCUCGUUAAAGCAACUGUAUGGCUGUCUGCCAAAUGAACGAUUUAUUUUACAGCUUGACCUCAGAUCAGGUAGGGAUACCCCCUGAACUUAAGCAUAUCANUAAGGGGAGGAAAAGAAACCAACAGGGAUUGCCUCAGUAACGGCGAGUGAAGCGGCAAAAGCUCAAAUUUGAAAUCUGGCGUCUUCGGCGUCCGAGUUGUAAUUUGUAGAGGUAGCUUUGGGUGUACAGCCAGGUCUAUGUUCCUU